This is a long non-coding RNA of Thunnus maccoyii (southern bluefin tuna), 511 nucleotides long. RefSeq lists it as uncharacterized. The transcript is spliced from 3 exons. Lineage: Eukaryota; Metazoa; Chordata; Actinopteri; Scombriformes; Scombridae. The record is from RefSeq and is a predicted model, not a curated record.
AGCACAGAACUGAGUUGGUCUGCACACACCUUAAGGGCAUGUGGCAAGACUCCAUCUGGGUCAGAUGCCUUAUUUGCCCUGAGCCACUUCAGCUGGGAGCAGACGUAAUCAGAGAUGACCGUUAUCUGUCAAAAAGCAAAUAUCUUUCUUUCCACAAUCAAUAUACAGCCUACCUGGAGUGGGAAUGAGAUUAUUUUGUAAUAUUGAGUGAUUAUAGGCAGAUGAAGAGGAUGCGGAUCACCAGUCACCUUCUCUGAAGACGAUUACCAGCUUAACCGCCCUAUAACUGCAUUCUCAGUAUUGAUCAAUAGCGAGUGCUGUACCAUCUUGCAUGAUUUGAAAUACAGGUAGCAUGUGUAUUUGUGUGGACAGAAAGAAAAGACAGAGGUGGUGAAUAAAGCAAGUUAACACACAAUGUGAAAGGUGACAGGAGGGAGAUUUUUGGUUGUUUAUGUCAAUCUGUGUAUUAGUGUGUUUGUGAGAGUUGCACUGGAUGUAAUUUGCUGCAGCA